RNAcentral lists this long non-coding RNA (967 nucleotides) under Canis lupus familiaris (dog). Its description in RNAcentral is "lncRNA (ENSCAFG00845021509.1)". Lineage: Eukaryota; Metazoa; Chordata; Mammalia; Carnivora; Canidae. The record is from RNAcentral.
AGUCGCUAGGGAGAGGCGGCCCCCAGCCCUGGAAGUCCCUUCUGAUAUCUGACCCUCAUUGGAGCUCACAGGGAGCCGAUGGCCCCAGGCCUGCGGGCUGGGGGAGGGGGGGGCACAGGUGCGUCAGGGGCAGGUGGGGGCAGAGCCCUGACGCCCGGCCCCAGCACGCUCAGUGUGAGUCAGGCCGGGACUUGCUUGAACUGCCAGGUCCCACCUGUGAAGGAGAAGGACGGCAGCCUCUAAAGCUCGUAAUUAGGGCAAGAGGAGAAGAUGCGGACCGAGCUGCCCCGUCCCCGGUCUUGCCUGACAAGCCUUUCUCCAGACCUGCGGCGCUCAGGCCCCGGGGAGGGCUGCCGGGAGAGGCUGGCAAGCUUGGCCUUGGCCACAGGGGUGGUCAGCUAUCUGGCAGCGGCUCCUUGGUGCUGGGUACUGAGAGGUCACCUUUCAUGUGAAAUCAGGAAGAGGCUGGAAGACUUAGAAGCCGGUAGUCAGGUUCCCUCCUUCCCAUGUCAGGCCUACAGGGCGGCACACGGGGCUUCCUCUUGCCCGGGGCACAGCAGAGCAUUUCCGUUUUAUAGAUAGAGUCUGAGCAGAUUAACCCCAGGGGUGGUAAGAUGUGUCUGAGCUGGGGGUUUCCUGUCAGCAGGCACUUCUUUUGCUUUGCCCUGGCUCUGUCAUGGGAUACUUAAGGCUGCUUGGUGUUAAAACCAUUACAGUAUCCGGUAUCCAUCCAUCCAUGCACCCACCCACCCACCAUCCAUUCACCCAUCCAUCCAUCCACCCACCUACCCACCCACCACCAUUCAUCCAUCUACCUACCCACCCACUGUCAAUCCUCCAUCCAUCCAUUUGUUUACCCCCGACCCACUCAUCCAUCCAUUCAUCCAUCCAUCCACUUAUCUAUCCAACCAUCUGACUACCCACCCAUCAUCCAUUCACCCAUCCAUCCAUCCACUCACCUACCCAC